AUACGCGAAGACCUUACCUAGCCUUGACAUUGAUUGAAUACCUUAGAGAUAGAGUAGUGCCCUUCGGGGAACAUGAAAACAGGUGCUGCACGGCUGUCGCCAGCUCGUGUCGUGAGAUGUUGGGUUAAGUCCCGCAACGAGCGCAACCCUCGUCCUUAGUUGCCAGCAGGUUAAGCUGGGCACUUUAAGGAGACUGCCUUCGCAAGGAGGAGGAAGGUGAGGACGACGUCAAGUCAUCAUGGCCCUUAUGGCUAGGGCUACACACGUGCUACAAUGGGGCGUACAGAGAGUUGCGAUACCGCGAGGUGGAGCCAAUCUCAUAAAGCGUCUCUCAGUUCGGAUUGAAGUCUGCAACUCGACUUCAUGAAGCUGGAAUCACUAGUAAUCGUAGAUCAGCAAUGCUACGGUGAAUACGUUCCCGGGUCUUGUACUCACCGCCCGUCAC
This 445-nucleotide ribosomal RNA is filed under the name uncultured bacterium. RNAcentral describes it as "bacterial SSU rRNA". It matches the Rfam family "Bacterial small subunit ribosomal RNA", at positions 957 to 1400 of the family's 1533-position model. The record is from RNAcentral.